Molecule: long non-coding RNA, 880 nt
Filed under: Homo sapiens (human)
Lineage: Eukaryota; Metazoa; Chordata; Mammalia; Primates; Hominidae
Description: non-protein coding lnc-DRD5-10:20
Source: RNAcentral
ACUCCAAGCUGUGUUGCUUCAGAGAGAAGUUGCUAAGAAGGCUUCUGUUGCAAAUGGCACAAGCUGAAUGUUUCCCAGUGCCAGGCAAUCCCUCACCCAAGACAACUUGUACAGGCCCUUCACAUCCUCUUGGUGCUUUUUCAACACAGCAGCUGUACAGGCUGACUUCUGUCAAUCUGUGUUUUCCAAAGGUAUGCCAGUGCUCAACAACCUCUGUUUUAUGCUCUCCUGCUUCUUCCUGUUCCAUUUACCUUUUUUUCUGAUUAUCUCCUAGAAUAUAUUUGUCAUCUAAAUAACCCCAGUCCCACAUCUCUCUAGCCUUACAAAGUUUUGUACUCAAAUGUUGUUCUUAUCCAUUACAUUUGCUUCUGUCUCCCUCCAUCCUGAUUUUGGCUUAGCUUUUCUGGAUGAGUUAUACUUGAAUAAGAUCUACUGGUAACACUCUCUCCAUUGGACAAGCCCCAAAGCUGACUUCUCUUAGAAUUCUGUUCUUGGAGGAAUCUCUUGCUCAAAUAUUCCCUAGCUUGUUCCCAGAUAAUCUCUUCUUAAUAGUCAUAGAAGGAAAUUGUUGUCAUGGUUAAAGUAGAACCUCCAUAGUUCAAUUUAAUAUGAACAAGGAUGUAAAGCAUUUAGGCAUCAUGCAUAGAGUUGAACAUAUAACAAAUAUAUAGCCAACAGGUUAUCUAAAUGACAAAGAAUGUCUAGAAUAACUCUUGACUUGAAUCCACACAGAUACAGAAAAUGAUUGAGCCAAAGGCAGGCUUAGCAGCAACUAAUAAUUUAUUUCCCUCCCCAAAACAUGCUUGUUCUAACAUGGCAUUUAUUCAGAGUUAUGUUUAAUUUGGCUGUCUUAAAUGCAAAAAACAUAUACGGACACAAA